RNAcentral lists this ribosomal RNA (728 nucleotides) under uncultured bacterium. Its description in RNAcentral is "bacterial SSU rRNA". It matches the Rfam family "Bacterial small subunit ribosomal RNA", at positions 773 to 1501 of the family's 1533-position model. The record is from RNAcentral.
CAGGAUUAGAUACCCUGGUAGUCCACGCCGUAAACGAUGUCGACUUGGAGGUUGUGCCCUUGAGGCGUGGCUUCCGGAGCUAACGCGUUAAGUCGACCGCCUGGGGAGUACGGCCGCAAGGUUAAAACUCAAAUGAAUUGACGGGGGCCCGCACAAGCGGUGGAGCAUGUGGUUUAAUUCGAUGCAACGCGAAGAACCUUACCUGGUCUUGACAUCCACAGAACUUUCCAGAGAUGGAUUGGUGCCUUCGGGAACUGUGAGACAGGUGCUGCAUGGCUGUCGUCAGCUCGUGUUGUGAAAUGUUGGGUUAAGUCCCGCAACGAGCGCAACCCUUAUCCUUUGUUGCCAGCGGUCCGGCCGGGAACUCAAAGGAGACUGCCAGUGAUAAACUGGAGGAAGGUGGGGAUGACGUCAAGUCAUCAUGGCCCUUACGACCAGGGCUACACACGUGCUACAAUGGCGCAUACAAAGAGAAGCGACCUCGCGAGAGCAAGCGGACCUCAUAAAGUGCGUCGUAGUCCGGAUUGGAGUCUGCAACUCGACUCCAUGAAGUCGGAAUCGCUAGUAAUCGUGGAUCAGAAUGCCACGGUGAAUACGUUCCCGGGCCUUGUACACACCGCCCGUCACACCAUGGGAGUGGGUUGCAAAAGAAGUAGGUAGCUUAACCUUCGGGAGGGCGCUUACCACUUUGUGAUUCAUGACUGGGGUGAAGUCGUAACAAGGUAACC